Molecule: long non-coding RNA, 408 nt
Organism: Lates calcarifer (barramundi perch)
Lineage: Eukaryota; Metazoa; Chordata; Actinopteri; Centropomidae
Exons: 3
Source: RefSeq, a predicted model, not a curated record
ACGAAGCCUUUCUUCCUGCCUCGUCUGUCUGUAUGGACCCUGAUGACAGCGAAGUCUGGAGGCAGUGUUUUUGAACAUCUUUCAGCCUGGCCACUCUCUGUGGGAGUCCCUUUGACUUGAAGAGCGCACACAGGUGAACCAUCCCGUCUCCUGUUGACACACAUACCCCUCAGAGGACAGUCCAUCCUCGGCCCUGCUCGACGUCCUCCUCUCUGUCAACUAGAAACUGCCCCUCCGCACCCUCACCCUCUCCCGCAUCAGCCGUUUUACAGCCUCCGUCACCGCGUGAUGCACUUUGCCUUUAAAGCCGAGAAUCUGCCUCAGACUGCCGCUCCACCCAGCGCUGCCAUCUCCCAGCCAGGGAGUCUGUGAGAGCAUGGGGAAGCCAUAGACGUGCGUGUUUACACA